UCCUUCGUAGUGUAGGGGUUAUCAUUCUCGCCUUUCAAGGACUUCGGUCUCAUGUACGCGAGCGACCCGGGUUCGAUUCCCGGCGUGGGAA
This 91-nucleotide transfer RNA is filed under the name Taphrina deformans PYCC 5710. It matches the Rfam family "tRNA". Rfam says of the family: Transfer RNA (tRNA) molecules are approximately 80 nucleotides in length. The record is from Rfam by way of RNAcentral. Lineage: Eukaryota; Fungi; Ascomycota; Taphrinomycetes; Taphrinales; Taphrinaceae.